Long non-coding RNA from Cucumis melo (muskmelon), 885 nucleotides. RefSeq lists it as uncharacterized. The transcript is spliced from 3 exons. The record is from RefSeq and is a predicted model, not a curated record. Lineage: Eukaryota; Viridiplantae; Streptophyta; Magnoliopsida; Cucurbitales; Cucurbitaceae.
GUUAUAUAUGUUAAAUGGGGAUUAGGGUUAUCCUAAUAAUCCCCAUUUAACCUAUCUUCUCCUACACUUUACCCGUCGUACGCCUCUUCUAACCCUACCUCAUUUUCCGACCAAAAUUCUCCGUUUUCCUCUCAUUUUCCGUUCCAUUUUCCUCUCAUUAACUUCCCAUUUUUCUCUGAUUAUCUUCCUUUCACCGAUCUUUUCUCCCUUCCUCUUCAAGUUCAUUUACAUUUCCUUCAUCUCCUUUUCAAAGCAUCUGUCUGUGUUAUUCGUGUUCCAUUUUUUGCCCUACUCUCUUCGAAACGCUCUCAUCCUCUCUAUUUUGCGUUUCGUUGAUCGAUUGCCAUGAACGUGCGUGACCUCCGAAACGUUUCUCAUCCUCUCUCCAUAUUUCCAUACCCUUCGUCUGCCGAAGAAUAACCCUUGUCGCUCCCUGCUCUUGUUGGUCUUAGAAUGAGUUUACUGCACUUUUCUUGUAACAGACAGCCACAUUGUCAUACAUGCUACACUAAAUCGGUGAAAGGAAGUCGAGUAGGGACAUGGCGGAGCAUGGCAGGGGUUCUCGGUCUGCACCAAAGGAAUUUCUUAACUAUGAGGCUACUUCCUUUCACAUACAUUAUGUACUAACACUUUUAUUUUUUGUACGGUUCCAUGGAUUUGUAAGGUUUCAUUUAUGGUUAAGGUUUUCGUACUUAAAGCAUUCCUAAAUGAGGUACUACGACUAUAAACCUCAUUCAUUUAUGAAGUCGAUCUAUAUAUGGUCUACUUAAUUGUUUUUGUAAUUAAUUCUUUUCUUUCGUUAUUAUUCAUUUAUGUUUGUUGUAUGAAAUGCUUCGAAUUCUAGCUUGUAAAUCGUAUUUUUUUUACUAUGUUAAAUGAUACUUU